RNAcentral lists this ribosomal RNA (229 nucleotides) under uncultured bacterium. RNAcentral describes it as "partial 16S ribosomal RNA". It matches the Rfam family "Bacterial small subunit ribosomal RNA", at positions 568 to 796 of the family's 1533-position model. The record is from RNAcentral.
UGCGCAGGCGGGCUUGUAAGUCAGUGGUGAAAUACUGCCGCUUAACGGUAGAACUGCCAUUGAUACUGCGAGUCUUGAAUAUGGUUGAGGUAGGCGGAAUGUGUUGUGUAGCGGUGAAAUGCAUAGAUAUGACACAGAACGCCGAUUGCGAAGGCAGCUUACUAAGCCAUUAUUGACGCUGAGGCACGAAAGCGUGGGGAGCGAACGGGAUUAGAUACCCUGGUAGUCC